Molecule: ribosomal RNA, 506 nt
Filed under: uncultured bacterium
Lineage: Bacteria
Description: partial 16S ribosomal RNA
Rfam family: Bacterial small subunit ribosomal RNA
Source: RNAcentral
AUUGAACGCUGGCGGCAGGCCUAACACAUGCAAGUCGGACGGUAGCACAGAGGAGCUUGCUCCUCGGGUGACGAGUGGCGGACGGGUGAGUAAUGUCUGGGGAUCUGCCCGAUAGAGGGGGAUAACCACUGGAAACGGUGGCUAAUACCGCAUAACGUCGCAAGACCAAAGAGGGGGACCUUCGGGCCUCUCACUAUCGGAUGAACCCAGAUGGGAUUAGCUAGUAGGCGGGGUAACGGCCCACCUAGGCGACGAUCCCUAGCUGGUCUGAGAGGAUGACCAGCCACACUGGAACUGAGACACGGUCCAGACUCCUACGGGAGGCAGCAGUGGGGAAUAUUGCACAAUGGGCGCAAGCCUGGUGCAGCCAUGCCGCGUGUAUGAAGAAGGCCUUCGGGUUGUAAAGUACUUUCAGCGGGGAGGAAGGCGAUGUGGUUAAUAACCGCGUCGAUUGACGUUACCCGCAGAAGAAGCACCGGCUAACUCCGUGCCAGCAGCCGCAGUAA